CCUACGGGAGGCAGCAGUGAGGAAUAUUGGUCAAUGGACGAGAGUCUGAACCAGCCAAGUAGCGUGAAGGAUGACUGCCCUAUGGGUUGUAAACUUCUUUUAUAUGGGAAUAAAACGUUCCACGUGUGGGUUUUUGUAUGUACCAUAUGAAUAAGGAUCGGCUAACUCCGUGCCAGCAGCCGCGGUAAUACGGAGGAUCCGAGCCUUAUCCGGAUUUAUUGGGUUUAAAGGGAGCGUAGGUGGAUUGUUAAGUCAGUUGUGAAAGUUUGCGGCUCAACCGUAAAAUUGCAGUUGAAACUGGCAGUCUUGAGUACAGUAGAGGUGGGCGGAAUUCGUGGUGUAGCGGUGAAAUGCUUAGAUAUCACGAAGAACUCCGAUUGCGAAGGCAGCUCACUGGACUGCAACUGACACUGAGGCUCGAAAGUGUGGGUAUCAAACAGGAUUAGAUACCCGAGUAGUC
Molecule: ribosomal RNA, 460 nt
Filed under: uncultured bacterium
Lineage: Bacteria
Description: partial 16S ribosomal RNA
Rfam family: Bacterial small subunit ribosomal RNA
Source: RNAcentral